AAUGUUGCUACUUUUUUUCUUCAGUCUGGUUAUUUCCCAUUUUAAAUAAAAAAAUAAAGGUAGAUAAAUAUUAAAAUGAACAGUAGGAACUAUAUAUACUGUAUAUAUUUACUAGGUAGAUAUAGCCUGACUGCAUGUCAUGAGUAAUGCUAUUAUUGUUAUAUUAUUAUACCGCAAUUAUAUUAUUUUCUCUGCAUGUGUGGUUAGAUGUGUUUUGUGUUUAACCUUUCUGUAUACAUACUGGAAUGACCCAAGGAAUUGUAGCCCUACUGCCGUACUUUAAAACUAUGUGAUCAUGUUUUUUCUUCCAAACUCAUUGUUUUAGCACGCACGCUGACUCCCAUCAGUAAUGAUGAUAUAUAUACAUUGAGUCAUUGGUUUGUAGGGGGAAGUGGGUGAAUAUAAUUAUCUCGGUCUAACUUAUACUGUUUAUUAUACCGCUAUUCGCAUCAAUAUCUUUCUCUGCUCCGAUUGCAACGCUGCCUCGUUCAAAAAUCAUAACACCGCCGCGGCCGCCACGUUUACCAGCCGGAGCCUCAAAUCAUGUCCCUUUGUGGUGAUAAAGAGGACACAGCCUGGUGUGAAGCUACAUUUAUUACGGAAGGAUGCCAGCCGGGAUCCGAACACAUCCGAUAUCAUUCAAGAGAAUGUGGCAGCUGAAGGAGGAGAGGCCAAGAAAGAGGCCAAGGGUGAAGACAUUUAGCCACCCCCCCUGAAGUACAUGGCAUCAUUCAACCCUCUUGGUGAGCUGCAGGAAUGUGCUUCCCAUUGCAGUGCACCAGCUCCAUGUACUGAUUUUGGUGUGAACUUGAUGGGGUUGGAGGAAACUCGACUCGGCCAUCAAGCUCACCACAACAUAACAUGAAAAGUGAAAAUUGCUCCACACAACAGUCUGUCGUCUGCACCGGGAGGCAAGGCAGCUCAAAGCCCAGGCUGUUACAAAUCCUGGGCAGUUUUUGCCCAGAGCCAGCAAUAUUUUAUAUCCAAUAGGGAUGGAUUUUUUCUGAGGUCAGGUUCAACAUGCUGCAAGAUGCCAAGAUCUAAGCCUAGUAGGAGAUAUGGGUUACAAGAGAGGAGGUUUGCUCUGGCCUUAUACUAUCAAAGUCCAAAUGCUAAUAGAUUUCUGAGCACAGUAUUUCACUUGUCUUCAGUUUCAACACUUCACUCAUGACUCAGGGGUAUUUCAGUACAUGUUGGCUAGAGCAAACAGACUCUGACAGCCCUGCAGCAAAGAGCACAGGCUUUGUCAAAAGAAGAGAAACUUCGUGGGAUUUGCCAUUAUUUAGUAUUACUCUUGUUACGCCAAGAAUUUUUUUCCAUAUACUUUGCCAAAUAUUGCAAGUAAUGCACCAUUGUUGGGCUUGCUUGUUAUAAAUCAGAUCUUGUUCAAUUAACAAGCUUUGGGUGUCUGCCACUUUCCAGUUGUAAUGCAAGGAAUCAUUUAUCUUCCCUGCUAGAUAUCACACGUAAUGCACCAUUGUUGGUUUUGCCUGUUAUAAAUCA
Molecule: long non-coding RNA, 1503 nt
Organism: Eriocheir sinensis (Chinese mitten crab)
Lineage: Eukaryota; Metazoa; Arthropoda; Malacostraca; Decapoda; Varunidae
Exons: 4
Source: RefSeq, a predicted model, not a curated record